GCAGAGAAGUCACUAGUUUGAGCACAGGAAAUCAAUGAAGCAGAAGGAAAGUGGACUCUGGAGAGUCUCAUCUUGUAAUGUCUGCUGGAUCACAUCACUUCUGGUUACAUCUGACUGUCUGGAACUGGUCACAUGACUCUACUGCCCACAAGGUGGCCAGGAAGUACAUUCCUGCCAUGAAUCCAGAAGGUGGAGAGCUGGAGAUAUCUGAACGGGACCUCCCAUGGACAGCGAUUGCCUCCUCUUCGCCUCCAUACAUCUGAGUCUUGUGUGGCACUUGUCACAUGGAAACCAUGGCAGCUGAAUUACAACAUGUCUUUGUGGACAAAUUUCUACUCUCUCUUCUUGAAUGAGAUGUCCACCUUCUCCGGCCCUUGGCCAGUGUUGAUCCUGAUUCUCAGGCCCUUGGAUUUGGACUGAAUUACACCACUGGCUUUCCCAAGUUUCCAGUUUGUAGAGGGCAGAUUGUGGGACAUCUUGGCUUUCACAACUGUGUGAACCAAUUAAU
Molecule: long non-coding RNA, 508 nt
Organism: Canis lupus familiaris (dog)
Lineage: Eukaryota; Metazoa; Chordata; Mammalia; Carnivora; Canidae
Exons: 3
Source: RefSeq, a predicted model, not a curated record